GCCAUCGGGCCGCGGGCGCUCGGAACCGACCUGGGAGCUGGCGGGACCGUCCUCCCCCGCCACGCCCUCCCAUCGGGCUUUGGGCGCCGGACUCUGGCCACCGCUCGGCACCUGCCUCCGCCUCGCCUUGGGGUAUAGGAGUCCUGUACCGACCCCUGGCUUGCCCAGAGGACAGGUUCUCGCCCGGGCCAGAAGCAAACUGCGGCGAAAUCGAGACAACAGAACUCAGUGCCCUUUCUUUUUCUUCAGAGUCACUCUGUCACCCAGGCUGGAGUGCAGUGGCACCAUCACAGCUCCCUGCAGCCUUGACUUACAGGGCUCCAGUGAUCCUCCACCCUCAGCCUCCUGAGUAUCUGAGACCACAGGUGCAAGCCACCAUGCCCAGUUGUAGCAAGGAAACCAAAAGGUAUAAACAUUCACUGAUUGAAAAACAAUGUCAUAAAGUCAUCCCAGUAUCUGUGAGGAGUUGGUUCCAGGACCCCUGAGGACACCAAAAUCCUCAGAUGCUCAAGUCCCUGAUAAAAAAAUAAAAGCAGUGGUGCCCUCGGGUUCAAAAACCUGAACGGUGGUCUUCAGUUGUUCCCCCAAGCUCCUCUAUCAGAGGCCCAGACACUCCAAGAGGCUGGGAAGAGGCAAGUGGCUUUCCCUGACUGGCAUCAGACUCCUGGAUGGCUGUGUUUCUGCAUACUCCACCAUCAACAAUCAGAAGGGCACUGCUUUCUUCAAGAAGGGGACCUUGCAAAGAACUGUCUCAGAUGGACUAUCUUUGAGUUCAUCUUGUUCUGAAUGUGAGUCUGAGUCUUUGUUUCCAGAUGACACAGUGCUGUCUGAGUCCUCUGAAUCACCUGCCUCAGAGCUGCAGCAAAGUUUCUGCUGCCCAGAAACUGAAUGGGCUGCUUGUAAUGCAGAUUCUUCCUCCUGGACAAGAA
This 929-nucleotide long non-coding RNA is filed under the name Homo sapiens (human). RNAcentral describes it as "SGMS1 antisense RNA 1". The record is from RNAcentral. Lineage: Eukaryota; Metazoa; Chordata; Mammalia; Primates; Hominidae.